RNAcentral lists this ribosomal RNA (468 nucleotides) under uncultured bacterium. Its description in RNAcentral is "partial 16S ribosomal RNA". It matches the Rfam family "Bacterial small subunit ribosomal RNA", at positions 28 to 507 of the family's 1533-position model. The record is from RNAcentral.
GACGAACGCUGGCGGCGUGCUUAACGCAUGCAAGUCGAACGGAAAGGCCCUGCUUUUGUGGGGUGCUCGAGUGGCGAACGGGUGAGUAACACGUGAGUAACCUGCCCUUGACUUUGGGAUAACUUCAGGAAACUGGGGCUAAUACCGGAUAGGAGCUCCUGCUGCAUGGUGGGGGUUGGAAAGUUUCGGCGGUUGGGGAUGGACUCGCGGCUUAUCAGCUUGUUGGUGGGGUAGUGGCUUACCAAGGCUUUGACGGGUAGCCGGCCUGAGAGGGUGACCGGCCACAUUGGGACUGAGAUACGGCCCAGACUCCUACGGGAGGCAGCAGUGGGGAAUAUUGCACAAUGGGCGGAAGCCUGAUGCAGCAACGCCGCGUGCGGGAUGACGGCCUUCGGGUUGUAAACCGCUUUCGCCUGUGACGAAGCGUGAGUGAUGGUAAUGGGUAAAGAAGCACCGGCUAACUACGUG